AACCCAGGCUGGCUUAUCGCGUCUGCACCAGCAGAUGAGGAAAGUCCGGGCAGCAUAGAGCACCCUACUUCCUAACGGGAAGGCGGAUGGCUGGGAACGGCCAUUCGACAGACAGGGCAACAGAAAAUAUACCGCCCAGGUUAAUGAUUGAAUGAUUGAGUUUUGAAUGAUUGAAUAGGCUUGCGCCAGUUGUUUUUAUUCAAUCAUUCAAAACUCAAUCAUUCAAUCAUUAACCUGGGUAAGGGCGAACCGGUGGGGUAAGAGCCUACCGCCCGGUGGGUGACCAGCGGGGCACGGUAACCCUUAGGGGCUGAAAGACCAAAUAAGCAUCGGAUGUGCGGCUGCUCGUCGCCAGAAGCCGAAAGGCCAAGCCGAUGCGGGUAGGUCGAACGAGGUGUCGGGUGACCGGCAUCCCAGAUAAAUGAUAAGCCAUUCCAAUUUGGAAGGACAGAACCCGGCUUAUAGGUCUGGGUUGAAU
This 478-nucleotide RNase P RNA is filed under the name Spirosoma sp. 48-14. RNAcentral's name for it is "RNase P RNA component class A". It matches the Rfam family "Bacterial RNase P class A". Rfam says of the family: Ribonuclease P (RNase P) is a ubiquitous endoribonuclease, found in archaea, bacteria and eukarya as well as chloroplasts and mitochondria. Its best characterised activity is the generation of mature 5'-ends of tRNAs by cleaving the 5'-leader elements of precursor-tRNAs. RNAcentral also lists the same sequence under 1 other name. The record is from RNAcentral. Lineage: Bacteria; Pseudomonadati; Bacteroidota; Cytophagia; Cytophagales; Cytophagaceae.